CAGAGAGGCGGAGAAACGAAGUCGGAAAACAAAUUUAAAACAUUUUUGAGUCACUCCCUCUCUUUGCUAGUACUGUGAAAAAACGUCGUUACGGCAGAGGUCUGGAUACUAAAACAAACUCUGGAGCUGCUUUUCUGUCGUUAAUGAAGAGGGCUGCAUGCUAAAACAAACUCUGGAGCUGCUUUUUGUCGAACAUGAGUGAGACUGGACGCUGAGCACACCUGCGGCACAAAGCUCCAAGUGACCUCACUUUGUCCACGAUCACAUAGAGUCUUCGUACAAUGCAGGAAUUCUUUGAGACCACAACAGAGGCCUCCAGGAUUCAAACUUAAACCAUUAAAUCGCAGAGAGUAGAGGCAGACAUGAAGACGUUUCCAGAAGGUCUUCAGCUGCUGUCGUCUUCUCCUCCUACAGAGACAAGAACACAUGUUAAUCACAGAAACCGAUCAGCAAAUCAAAAUAUUUGUAGGACAUUCUAUUCUGACAAUUUUUAAAAUGUUUUUGACUACUAAACUAUGACAUGCAGCUUAAGACAAAGUAGCUGUCUUAUGUCUGUUUUCCACAGACACACAUUCACACCUCUACUCAGUGUUUGUGGGUAAGGUUAGAUUUUCAUUUAGCAAUUUUUCUGUUUGAAAUAUCAGUAACUGUGACUCAAAUUGAAUCUAUUACUAUGUACAUAGUCCUGUUUAUACUGUUCAUAUUGUGUUUAAUUCUUAUAUAUUAUGUAUUAUCUUGUUUUGUGUGUGUGUAUAUAUAUAAAAAAUGCCCUUUUAAUUUUUGCUGUUGCAACACUGAAUUUCCC
Lates calcarifer (barramundi perch) is the source of this 805-nucleotide long non-coding RNA. RefSeq lists it as uncharacterized. The record is from RefSeq and is a predicted model, not a curated record. The transcript is spliced from 4 exons. Lineage: Eukaryota; Metazoa; Chordata; Actinopteri; Centropomidae.